CGGGGCUAAACCAUGCACCGAAGCUGCGGCAGCGACACUGUGUGUUGUUGGGUAGGGGAGCGUUCUGUAAGCCUGUGAAGGUGUACUGUGAGGAUGCUGGAGGUAUCAGAAGUGCGAAUGCUGACAUAAGUAACGAUAAAGCGGGUGAAAAGCCCGCUCGCCGGAAGACCAAGGGUUCCUGUCCAACGUUAAUCGGGGCAGGGUGAGUCGACCCCUAAGGCGAGGCCGAAAGGCGUAGUCGAUGGGAAACAGGUUAAUAUUCCUGUACUUGGUGUUACUGCGAAGGGGGGACGGAGAAGGCUAUGUUGGCCGGGCGACGGUUGUCCCGGUUUAAGCGUGUAGGCUGGUUUUCCAGGCAAAUCCGGAAAAUCAAGGCUGAGGCGUGAUGACGAGGCACUACGGUGCUGAAGCAACAAAUGCCCUGCUUCCAGGAAAAGCCUCUAAGCAUCAGGUAACAUCAAAUCGUACCCCAAACCGACACAGGUGGUCAGGUAGAGAAUACCAAGGCGCUUGAGAGAACUCGGGUGAAGGAACUAGGCAAAAUGGUGCCGUAACUUCGGGAGAAGGCACGCUGAUAUGUAGGUGAAGUCCCUCGCGGAUGGAGCUGAAAUCAGUCGAAGAUACCAGCUGGCUGCAACUGUUUAUUAAAAACACAGCACUGUGCAAACACGAAAGUGGACGUAUACGGUGUGACGCCUGCCCGGUGCCGGAAGGUUAAUUGAUGGGGUCAGCGCAAGCGAAGCUCUUGAUCGAAGCCCCGGUAAACGGCGGCCGUAACUAUAACGGUCCUAAGGUAGCGAAAUUCCUUGUCGGGUAAGUUCCGACCUGCACGAAUGGCGUAAUGAUGGCCAGGCUGUCUCCACCCGAGACUCAGUGAAAUUGAACUCGCUGUGAAGAUGCAGUGUACCCGCGGCAAGACGGAAAGACCCCGUGAACCUUUACUAUAGCUUGACACUGAACAUUGAGCCUUGAUGUGUAGGAUAGGUGGGAGGCUUUGAAGUGUGGACGCCAGUCUGCAUGGAGCCGACCUUGAAAUACCACCCUUUAAUGUUUGAUGUUCUAACGUGGACCCGUGAUCCGGGUUGCGGACAGUGUCUGGUGGGUAGUUUGACUGGGGCGGUCUCCUCCUAAAGAGUAACGGAGGAGCACGAAGGUUGGCUAAUCCUGGUCGGACAUCAGGAGGUUAGUGCAAUGGCAUAAGCCAGCUUGACUGCGAGCGUGACGGCGCGAGCAGGUGCGAAAGCAGGUCAUAGUGAUCCGGUGGUUCUGAAUGGAAGGGCCAUCGCUCAACGGAUAAAAGGUACUCCGGGGAUAACAGGCUGAUACCGCCCAAGAGUUCAUAUCGACGGCGGUGUUUGGCACCUCGAUGUCGGCUCAUCACAUCCUGGGGCUGAAGUAGGUCCCAAGGGUAUGGCUGUUCGCCAUUUAAAGUGGUACGCGAGCUGGGUUUAGAACGUCGUGAGACAGUUCGGUCCCUAUCUGCCGUGGGCGCUGGAGAACUGAGGGGGGCUGCUCCUAGUACGAGAGGACCGGAGUGGACGCAUCACUGGUGUUCGGGUUGUCAUGCCAAUGGCACUGCCCGGUAGCUAAAUGCGGAAGAGAUAAGUGCUGAAAGCAUCUAAGCACGAAACUUGCCCCGAGAUGAGUUCUCCCUGACCCUUUAAGGGUCCUGAAGGAACGUUGAAGACGACGACGUUGAUAGGCCGGGUGUGUAAGCGCAGCGAUGCGUUGAGCUAACCGGUACUAAUGAACCGUGAGGCUUAACCU
Molecule: ribosomal RNA, 1767 nt
Filed under: Escherichia coli 97.0003
Lineage: Bacteria; Pseudomonadati; Pseudomonadota; Gammaproteobacteria; Enterobacterales; Enterobacteriaceae
Description: bacterial LSU rRNA
Rfam family: Bacterial large subunit ribosomal RNA
Source: RNAcentral